UGAGGAAUUUUCCGCAAUGGGCGAAAGCCUGACGGAGCAAUGCCGCGUGGAGGAAGAAGGUCUGUGGAUUGUAAACUCCUUUUCUCAGAGAAGAAGUUCUGACGGUAUCUGAGGAAUAAGCUCCGGCUAACUCUGUG
RNAcentral lists this ribosomal RNA (137 nucleotides) under uncultured eukaryote. Its description in RNAcentral is "partial 16S ribosomal RNA". It matches the Rfam family "Bacterial small subunit ribosomal RNA", at positions 355 to 507 of the family's 1533-position model. The record is from RNAcentral.